Molecule: ribosomal RNA, 1439 nt
Filed under: Pedobacter wanjuense
Lineage: Bacteria; Pseudomonadati; Bacteroidota; Sphingobacteriia; Sphingobacteriales; Sphingobacteriaceae
Description: bacterial SSU rRNA
Rfam family: Bacterial small subunit ribosomal RNA
Source: RNAcentral
GCAGGCCUAAUACAUGCAAGUCGAACGCGAUUAAGGGGCUUGCUCCUUAUGAAAGUGGCGCACGGGUGCGUAACGCGUAUGCAACCUACCUUUAUCAGGGGGAUAGCCCGGAGAAAUCCGGAUUAACACCGCAUAAAAUCACAGGAUAGCAUUAUUCAAUGAUCAAAUAUUUAUAGGAUAAAGAUGGGCAUGCGUGUCAUUAGCUAGUUGGCGGGGUAACGGCCCACCAAGGCGACGAUGACUAGGGGAUCUGAGAGGAUGGCCCCCCACACUGGUACUGAGACACGGACCAGACUCCUACGGGAGGCAGCAGUAAGGAAUAUUGGUCAAUGGAGGGAACUCUGAACCAGCCAUGCCGCGUGCAGGAAGACUGCCCUAUGGGUUGUAAACUGCUUUUAUCCGGGAAUAAACCUACUUACGUGUAAGUAGCUGAAUGUACCGGAAGAAUAAGGAUCGGCUAACUCCGUGCCAGCAGCCGCGGUAAUACGGAGGAUCCAAGCGUUAUCCGGAUUUAUUGGGUUUAAAGGGUGCGUAGGCGGCCUGUUAAGUCAGGGGUGAAAGACGGUAGCUCAACUAUCGCAGUGCCCUUGAUACUGAUGGGCUUGAAUGGACUAGAGGUAGGCGGAAUGAGACAAGUAGCGGUGAAAUGCAUAGAUAUGUCUCAGAACACCGAUUGCGAAGGCAGCUUACUAUGGUCUUAUUGACGCUGAGGCACGAAAGCGUGGGGAUCAAACAGGAUUAGAUACCCUGGUAGUCCACGCCCUAAACGAUGAACACUCGCUGUUGGCGAUACACAGUCAGCGGCUAAGCGAAAGCGUUAAGUGUUCCACCUGGGGAGUACGCCCGCAAGGGUGAAACUCAAAGGAAUUGACGGGGGCCCGCACAAGCGGAGGAGCAUGUGGUUUAAUUCGAUGAUACGCGAGGAACCUUACCCGGGCUUGAAAGUUAGUGAAUGAUUUAGAGAUAGAUCAGUGAGCAAUCACACGAAACUAGGUGCUGCAUGGCUGUCGUCAGCUCGUGCCGUGAGGUGUUGGGUUAAGUCCCGCAACGAGCGCAACCCCUAUGUUUAGUUGCCAGCAUGUAAUGAUGGGGACUCUAAACAGACUGCCUGUGCAAACAGAGAGGAAGGAGGGGACGACGUCAAGUCAUCAUGGCCCUUACGUCCGGGGCUACACACGUGCUACAAUGGAUGGUACAGAGGGCAGCUACAUAGCAAUAUGAUGCGAAUCUCACAAAGCCAUUCACAGUUCGGAUUGGGGUCUGCAACUCGACCCCAUGAAGUUGGAUUCGCUAGUAAUCGCGUAUCAGCAAUGACGCGGUGAAUACGUUCCCGGGCCUUGUACACACCGCCCGUCAAGCCAUGGAAGCUGGGGGUACCUAAAGUAUGUAACCGCAAGGAGCGUCCUAGGGUAAAACCGGUAACUGGGGCUAAGUCGUAC